UUCACAGGGACCAUUUCAAUCUUCAAACCCACCAAACGCCCUGUCCAGAUUAUUGAUUGCUUAACGUUCCAAAUUGCUCUGAUUUUUCAUAAAUAGUUAUAUCAGGCAAUUAUGGCUGUCUUAAUGGAAUAAUUUAACCAGGUUCGGACCCUUUUACCCUGAUAAUUGUCACAAAGCACAAAUUAUCCUCAAAUGUUCUUGCCCUAACUGGGGUCACCUGAAGAUUCCUGACAUGUACGAUCUCUACAAUGCUGAAGUUGAGAUAUUGAGCCCUUAAACCAACCAUUUACCAACUGAAAAUCAGUAUUUGAACGAAGGCAAGGAGUACUUGACGGGCAGAAACUCCGGGCAGACAGUGAGGACCACCAUCUGCUAAUAAAACCCUCCAAUUCCAAAGCAAGGGAAUUUUUAGCAGCACCGUAACCAUAGUUUUGUUUAUCUGUCUGUAACACACACAUUUUAUGUUGCUUUCAAUAGGUUCAGAAUAUCCAAACCCCGAGGGAUGAAAACAAAACUACUGCAACAAUGAAACAUCACAAAUUUCUUCCUCCGCGCAAAUACUUCUUCCUCGUGCCCUUCCAUCAGAAUUCAGAAACAAUGCGUCUUUGGAAUGUGUUCACAUCUGAUGAAUUCAGUUAAAACUGAAAAUUUAUUUUUGGUUCAAUGGCUAAAUGCGAUAAUAUCACUCACCUGAUUCAACUCCCCACCAACCGAGUUUGAAUUGUGUUACAGCUCACCAUUCACCAAUUGCCACUAUCCAUAAGAAAUCAGUUAGCUCAAAGCAAUGAAACAUGACAACCACUACUCUUAAAAGUCUCAACCAAAAAAUCAUAUCACCAAAUCCCUCAACCACACUUUCAUUUUUUUCUUCAAUGCCAUCAUCUGCAAAUCCAAACCAAGCAAACGCACCAAAAGAAUUAAAGAUAGGACAGAACCCAAUAACACUACCUUGCUUUUCUA
This 960-nucleotide unclassified non-coding RNA is filed under the name Hevea brasiliensis (rubber tree). Lineage: Eukaryota; Viridiplantae; Streptophyta; Magnoliopsida; Malpighiales; Euphorbiaceae. The record is from RNAcentral.